RNAcentral lists this ribosomal RNA (861 nucleotides) under uncultured bacterium. RNAcentral describes it as "bacterial SSU rRNA". It matches the Rfam family "Bacterial small subunit ribosomal RNA", at positions 11 to 916 of the family's 1533-position model. The record is from RNAcentral.
GUUUGAUCAUGGCUCAGGACGAACGCUGGCGGCGUGGAUAAGGCAUGCAAGUUGAAAGGGUUUAGACCCUUGGCAAACGGGUUUUGUAAUGCAUAGGAAUUUUCCCCAAAGUCGUGGAUAAUCCGGAGAAAUCCGGAACAAUACACGAUAUGUUCUACGGAAUAAAGAUUUACCGCUUUGGGAUGAGCCUAUGUCCUAUCAGCUUGUUGGUGGUGUAAAAGACCACCAAGGCUAUGACGGGUAGGGGGUGUGAGAGCACGGCCCCCAACAUUGGGACUGAGACACUGCCCAAACACCUACGGGUGGCUGCAGUCGAGAAUAUUCCACAAUGGACGAAAGUCUGAUGGAGCGACGCCGCGUGCAGGAUGAAGGUUUUCGGAUUGUAAACUGCUUUUGUAAGGGAAGAAUGUAAAUGACGGUACCUUACGAAUAAGAGGUUACUAACUCUGUGCUAGCAGUAGCGGUAAUACAGAGACCUCAAGCGUUGUCCGGACUUAUUGGGCGUAAAGCGCAGGUAGGCGGAUAUAUUAGUCAGAUGUCAAAUCCUCGAGCUCAACUCGAGAACUGCAUUUGAAACGGUAUGUCUAGAGAGCGGGAGGGACCACUGGAACUUAUGGUGUAGCAGUGAAAUGCGUUGAUAUCAUAAGGAACACCAAAGGCGAAGGCAUGUGGUUGGCCCGUUUCUGACGCUGAGCUGCGAAAGCGUGGGUAGCGAAUGGGAUUAGAUACCCCAGUAGUCCACGCUGUAAACGAUGUAUAUUAGGCAUCGGGAGUAUCGACCCUCUCGGUGUCGUAGCUAACGCGUUAAAUAUACCGCCUGGGAAGUACGGCCGCAAGGCUAAAACUCAAAUGAAUUGACGG